UCUGUGUAAAAUGCGUUCUUAUUCAAGUUUUCAACUCAGUCAUUCGUUUAAGAUGCAAUCUUGUGUUAUAAGUAUUAGGCUAUCAUGAUUAUACAGUGAGCAAGCUAUAUAAAUAAGUAUUUAAUAUAAUAAAAGUGUAGAGCAACAACCGAGGGUGUAAGGUAAAGGCUGAAUAUUGUAGAUUUAUUACAAUAUGUUGCAUGUUUGAAUUAAAAUACCUGUGGAUAUGCAACUUCCCACUAAUGAAAGUUUUAUUCAAAAGGAGCACACACUCUACAAAGGCCUGACUGGAGAUUUGCCUGAUCUAUCCGUCCUUCAGAUGACAGCGGCUCGCUUCAAGAGCAGGUGAAGCAAGUUGGGACAAUGUUGAAGACAUUUGCUCGCACUGGGCAAUCAGGUGCAGAUCAAACCCUAAUGCUGCGACGUCUUGGAAUUUGGC
Molecule: long non-coding RNA, 439 nt
Organism: Xyrauchen texanus (razorback sucker)
Lineage: Eukaryota; Metazoa; Chordata; Actinopteri; Cypriniformes; Catostomidae
Exons: 3
Source: RefSeq, a predicted model, not a curated record